Molecule: ribosomal RNA, 449 nt
Filed under: uncultured bacterium
Lineage: Bacteria
Description: partial 16S ribosomal RNA
Rfam family: Bacterial small subunit ribosomal RNA
Source: RNAcentral
GUCGAGAAUCUUUCACAAUGGGGGCAACCCUGAUGGAGCGACGCCGCGUGGAGGAUAAGGUCUUCGGAUUGUAAACUCCUGUCAUGCGUGAACAAGGUUGCUUGGUUAAUACCUGGGCAAAUUGAUGGUAACGCAAGAGGAAGAGACGGCUAACUCUGUGCCAGCAGCCGCGGUAAUACAGAGGUCUCAAGCGAUGUUCGGAAUCACUGGGCGUAAAGGGUGCGUAGGUGGCGUGGUAAGUCAGAUGUGAAAGCCCGUGGCUCAACCUCGGAACUGCAUCCGAUACUGCCAUGCUAGAGUACUGGAGAGGUGACUAGAAUUCUCGGUGUAGCAGUGAAAUGCGUAGACAUCGAGAGGAAUACCAAAGGCGUAGGCAGGUCACUGGACAGUUACUGACACUGAGGCACGAAGGCCAGGGGAGCGAACGGGAUUAGAAACCCUUGUAGUCC